Molecule: unclassified non-coding RNA, 1391 nt
Filed under: Leishmania donovani
Lineage: Eukaryota; Euglenozoa; Kinetoplastea; Trypanosomatida; Trypanosomatidae
Description: gene:LdHU3.36.6260(CDS-product:Ribosomal_L22e_pro tein_family_putative)
Source: RNAcentral
CCUCUCACACAAAGAUGGUCGCCGUUCGCGCUAAGGUUGGCUCCCGCAGCUACGUCCGCCAGAAGCAGCUGGCCAAGGGCAAGAAGGUCUUCAAGAUCGACUGCAGCAUCCCGGCCGCCGACGGCAUCUUCAGCGAGGAUGUGCUUAGCAACUUCGAGCAGUUCUUCCAGGACAACACGAAGCUGAACGGGCGCAAGGGCAAGCUGUCUGAUAAGGUCCGCCUGUCGAUGAACGACAAUGUUCUGACCAUCAGCACCACGAUGGCGUACCGCAAGAAGUAUUUCAAGUACCUCACGAAGAAGUUCCUCAAGAAGAAGGACCUGCGCGACUGGAUCCGCAUCCUCGCCACCGGCAAGGGGACGUACCAGCUCAAGUACUUCAACAUCCAGGACCAGGAGGAAUAGUCGCGCCACCAUACAGAGCCGCUGCUCUUUGUCCGCAAAACUCGCUCACACCCAGGCAGGACGUUGCAGAGCCGUGCAUGUGUGUGCGUGUGAGCGUGGAUGCCCUUUUUUUUUUGCUUUCGGCGCUGCAUCUCUUUUCCUUCGCUUCACACCUUCGCAAUGCGUCACGCCUUUGUUCAGCGGCCGCCAGCGCAGCCUGACGAGGAGGGGAAAGUACGAAAAGGAGGCCGGAGGGUCACUGUAGCAGUAAGGAGCAACCAAAGCAAGCAAACAAAAAGUGGGCGCGUCUGCGGUGCAUCGCUGCCGUGCCCGGGAGUGCGUCACAUGCGUUCGGCAUGAAUGGCGUACGCUCAGAGGCUAAGUUGACGCUUUCGUUUUUUUUUCUCUUUAUUUCACCUUGACAAACUAAAAUACCUGAUGAAGAAACAAAAAAUAAAAAGCGACACUUCGCACGAAAGACGACGGGGAAGCGGGGGCUCGUGCUGAGGGGGAGACUCACUGUGGUGACAGGAAGAUGACCAUGUGGAUUGUGUGGGUUUGUGUGUGUGGGGGAUGGGGGCGACAAACAGCAGGCGAUGUGGCUACGAGGUCGAGCGGAGAGGAAGAAAGCCAAGGAGGAGGUAGAUAAACCCGUCCUUCCUUGAAAUCCUCAGCUAGCCCAGCCGGUGUACCUUGUGGCGUUCGAGCGACGUGCUUUUGCCGUCACGUGCAAACGACAAGUGGCACCCUUCACCACCCUCUUUGUCUCCUUGCGCAUAGAUAUGUGUCUAUAUUGCAGCCCCCUCCUCCCCCUCCCCCAAUGCAGGACUUGGACCAAGGGGAGGUACGCGAGCCCUGCUUGUCAAGAUACAGACUCCUCUUCCCACCCCCUCGUCUCCUCCUCUGUGUGUAUGGGAAUCCACCCUAUCUUUUUCUUCGCCACCCUCUCUCGCUCCGUGCUCUCUCGCCUGCUGCGUCACGGCGUCGCUUCUGUGCUCGUGCGGGCAG